UACGUAGGGUGCAAGCGUUGUCCGGAAUUAUUGGGCGUAAAGAGCUCGUAGGCGGCUUGUCGCGUCGUUCGUGAAAACCCGGGGCUCAACCCCGGGCUUGCGGGCGAUACGGGCAGGCUAGAGUUCGGUAGGGGAGACUGGAAUUCCUGGUGUAGCGGUGAAAUGCGCAGAUAUCAGGAGGAACACCGGUGGCGAAGGCGGGUCUCUGGGCCGAUACUGACGCUGAGGAGCGAAAGCGUGGGGAGCGAACAGG
RNAcentral lists this ribosomal RNA (253 nucleotides) under uncultured bacterium. Its description in RNAcentral is "partial 16S ribosomal RNA". It matches the Rfam family "Bacterial small subunit ribosomal RNA", at positions 524 to 776 of the family's 1533-position model. The record is from RNAcentral.